UACGUAGGGUGCGAGCGUUGUCCGGAAUUACUGGGCGUAAAGAGCUCGUAGGUGGUUUGUCGCGUUGUUCGUGAAAUCCCACGGCUUAACUGUGGGCGUGCGGGCGAUACGGGCAGACUGGAGUACUGCAGGGGAGACUGGAAUUCCUGGUGUAGCGGUGGAAUGCGCAGAUAUCAGGAGGAACACCGAUGGCGAAGGCAGGUCACUGGGCCGCAACUGACGCUGAGGAGCGAAAGCAUGGGGAGCGAACAGG
Molecule: ribosomal RNA, 253 nt
Filed under: uncultured bacterium
Lineage: Bacteria
Description: partial 16S ribosomal RNA
Rfam family: Bacterial small subunit ribosomal RNA
Source: RNAcentral